GGGUUGUGAGGUUAAGCGACUAAGCGUACACGGUGGAUGCCCUGGCAGUCAGAGGCGAUGAAGGACGUGCUAAUCUGCGAUAAGCGUCGGUAAGGUGAUAUGAACCGUUAUAACCGGCGAUUUCCGAAUGGGGAAACCCAGUGUGAUUCGUCACACUAUCGUUAACUGAAUACAUAGGUUAACGAAGCGAACCGGGGGAACUGAAACAUCUAAGUACCCCGAGGAAAAGAAAUCAACCGAGAUUCCCCCAGUAGCGGCGAGCGAACGGGGAGGAGCCCAGAGCCUGAAUCAGCAUGUGUGUUAGUGGAAGCGUCUGGAAAGGCGCGCGAUACAGGGUGACAGCCCCGUACACAAAAGCGCAUGUGCUGUGAGCUCGAUGAGUAGGGCGGGACACGUGGUAUCCUGUCUGAAUAUGGGGGGACCAUCCUCCAAGGCUAAAUACUCCUGACUGACCGAUAGUGAACCAGUACCGUGAGGGAAAGGCGAAAAGAACCCCGGCGAGGGGAGUGAAAAAGAACCUGAAACCGUGUACGUACAAGCAGUGGGAGCCCCACCACCAAAGCAUUCUCUGGUGUUGAAGGCCCUGCAAAGCAGCAUCGCGGUGGCGGAGCGUCGUUUGCGACGCCCAACACACAAAACAAGCGGUGAGUGCUUUGGGGUGGGGUGACUGCGUACCUUUUGUAUAAUGGGUCAGCGACUUAUAUUCUGUAGCAAGGUUAACCGAAUAGGGGAGCCGGAGGGAAACCGAGUCUUAAUUGGGCGUUAAGUU
Molecule: ribosomal RNA, 769 nt
Filed under: Salmonella enterica
Lineage: Bacteria; Pseudomonadati; Pseudomonadota; Gammaproteobacteria; Enterobacterales; Enterobacteriaceae
Description: partial 23S ribosomal RNA
Rfam family: Bacterial large subunit ribosomal RNA
Source: RNAcentral